RNAcentral lists this long non-coding RNA (682 nucleotides) under Homo sapiens (human). RNAcentral's name for it is "non-protein coding lnc-DCLK3-4:1". The record is from RNAcentral. Lineage: Eukaryota; Metazoa; Chordata; Mammalia; Primates; Hominidae.
AUGAGCCUCUGGGUAGACAAGUACCAGCCCUAAUCCUUGGGAUGGAUGGAGUAUCACAGGGAGCAGGCAGCCCAGCUAUACAACCUGGUGCAGGGUGGUGAGUUUCCUCACCUUUAAGUGUAUGGACCAUCAGGUUCUGGAAAAAAGACAAGUGCUAUGUGUGUUCUACAUCAACUUUAUGGUGUUGGAGUGGAAAAAUUGAGAAUUAAAUACCAGACCAUCAGGACUCCAUCUAAAAAAAUUGAAAUUAGCACCAUUGCAAGUAAUUACCACCUUGAAGUUAAUCCCAGUGAUGCUGGAAAUAUUGAUGAGGUAGUAAUUCAGAAGAUGUUGAAAACAGUGGCUCAGUCACAGCAACUUGAAACAAACUGUCAGAUAUUUUAAAAUGGUAUUAUUGACAGAAGUUGACAAACUCAUCAAAGAUGCUCAACAUGCCUUGUAAAGAACCAUGGGAAAGUAUAUGUCCACCUACAGAUUGAUCUUGUGCCACAGUUCUACAUCUAAUGUGAUACUACCUAUUUGUAGUAGGUGCUUGGCAGUUGGUGUGCCUGCUCCCAGCAUUGGAGAUAUUUACCAUGUGUUAUUUACUGUGUACAACAAGGAAGAUCUGAAUCUUCCUUCACAACUGACUCAUAGACUUGCAGAAAAGUCCUGCAGAAACCUCACAAAAGCCCUGCUUAUG